This 440-nucleotide ribosomal RNA is filed under the name uncultured bacterium. Its description in RNAcentral is "bacterial SSU rRNA". It matches the Rfam family "Bacterial small subunit ribosomal RNA", at positions 338 to 795 of the family's 1533-position model. The record is from RNAcentral.
CCUACGGGAGGCAGCAGUGGGGAAUAUUGGACAAUGGGCGAAAGCCUGAUCCAGCAAUGCCGCGUGUGUGAAGAAGGUCUUCGGAUUGUAAAGCACUUUCGACGGGGACGAUGACGACAGUACCCGUAGAAGAAGCCCCGGCUAACUUCGUGCCAGCAGCCGCGGUAAUACGAAGGGGGCUAGCGUUGCUCGGAAUGACUGGGCGUAAAGGGCGCGUAGGCGGUUUAUGCAGUCAGAUGUGAAAUCCCCGGGCUUAACCUGGGAACUGCAUUUGAGACGCAUAGACUAGAGGUCGAGAGAGGGUUGUGGAAUUCCCAGUGUAGAGGUGAAAUUCGUAGAUAUUGGGAAGAACACCGGUGGCGAAGGCGGCAACCUGGCUCGAUACUGACGCUGAGGCGCGAAAGCGUGGGGAGCAAACAGGAUUAGAUACCCCUGUAGUC